Pan troglodytes (chimpanzee) is the source of this 117-nucleotide non-coding RNA. It matches the Rfam family "Metazoan signal recognition particle RNA". From Rfam's summary of the family: The signal recognition particle (SRP) is a universally conserved ribonucleoprotein. It is involved in the co-translational targeting of proteins to membranes. The eukaryotic SRP consists of a 300-nucleotide 7S RNA and six proteins: SRPs 72, 68, 54, 19, 14, and 9. Lineage: Eukaryota; Metazoa; Chordata; Mammalia; Primates; Hominidae. The record is from Rfam.
GCUGGGCAUGGUGGCUCAUGCCUGUAAUCCCAGCACUUUGGGAGGCUGAGGCAGGAGGAUCACCUGAGGUCAGGAGUUCAAGACCAACCUGGCCAACAUGGUGAAACCCCGUCUCUA